Molecule: non-coding RNA, 29 nt
Filed under: Mus musculus (house mouse)
Lineage: Eukaryota; Metazoa; Chordata; Mammalia; Rodentia; Muridae
Source: RNAcentral
UAGAAAAUGGAGGAAAUCUAUCCUGUGAC